This 144-nucleotide ribosomal RNA is filed under the name Limosilactobacillus reuteri. Its description in RNAcentral is "Lactobacillus reuteri Small Subunit Ribosomal RNA; ssuRNA; SSU rRNA". It matches the Rfam family "Bacterial small subunit ribosomal RNA", at positions 8 to 121 of the family's 1533-position model. The record is from RNAcentral. Lineage: Bacteria; Bacillati; Bacillota; Bacilli; Lactobacillales; Lactobacillaceae.
AGAGUUUGAUCCUGGCUCAGGAUGAACGCCGGCGGUGUGCCUAAUACAUGCAAGUCGUACGCACUGGCCCAACUGAUUGAUGGUGCUUGCACCUGAUUGACGAUGGAUCACCAGUGAGUGGCGGACGGGUGAGUAACACGUAGG